AGAGUUUGAUCCUGGCUCAGGAUGAACGCCGGCGGUGUGCCUAAUACAUGCAAGUCGAACGCGUUGGCCCAAUUGAUUGAUGGUGCUUGCACCUGAUUGAUUUUGGUCGCCAACGAGUGGCGGACGGGUGAGUAACACGUAGGUAACCUGCCCAGAAGCGGGGGACAACAUUUGGAAACAGAUGCUAAUACCGCAUAACAGCGUUGUUCGCAUGAACAACGCUUAAAAGAUGGCUUCUCGCUAUCACUUCUGGAUGGACCUGCGGUGCAUUAGCUUGUUGGUGGGGUAACGGCCUACCAAGGCGAUGAUGCAUAGCCGAGUUGAGAGACUGAUCGGCCACAAUGGGACUGAGACACGGCCCAUACUCCUACGGGAGGCAGCAGUAGGGAAUCUUCCACAAUGGGCGCAAGCCUGAUGGAGCAACACCGCGUGAGUGAAGAAGGGUUUCGGCUCGUAAAGCUCUGUUGUUAAAGAAGAACACGUAUGAGAGUAACUGUUCAUACGUUGACGGUAUUUAACCAGAAAGUCACGGCUAACUACGUGCCAGCAGCCGCGGUAAUACGUAGGUGGCAAGCGUUAUCCGGAUUUAUUGGGCGUAAAGAGAGUGCAGGCGGUUUUCUAAGUCUGAUGUGAAAGCCUUCGGCUUAACCGGAGAAGUGCAUCGGAAACUGGAUAACUUGAGUGCAGAAGAGGGUAGUGGAACUCCAUGUGUAGCGGUGGAAUGCGUAGAUAUAUGGAAGAACACCAGUGGCGAAGGCGGCUACCUGGUCUGCAACUGACGCUGAGACUCGAAAGCAUGGGUAGCGAACAGGAUUAGAUACCCUGGUAGUCCAUGCCGUAAACGAUGAGUGCUAGGUGUUGGAGGGUUUCCGCCCUUCAGUGCCGGAGCUAACGCAUUAAGCACUCCGCCUGGGGAGUACGACCGCAAGGUUGAAACUCAAAGGAAUUGACGGGGGCCCGCACAAGCGGUGGAGCAUGUGGUUUAAUUCGAAGCUACGCGAAGAACCUUACCAGGUCUUGACAUCUUGCGCCAACCCUAGAGAUAGGGCGUUUCCUUCGGGAACGCAAUGACAGGUGGUGCAUGGUCGUCGUCAGCUCGUGUCGUGAGAUGUUGGGUUAAGUCCCGCAACGAGCGCAACCCUUGUUACUAGUUGCCAGCAUUAAGUUGGGCACUCUAGUGAGACUGCCGGUGACAAACCGGAGGAAGGUGGGGACGACGUCAGAUCAUCAUGCCCCUUAUGACCUGGGCUACACACGUGCUACAAUGGACGGUACAACGAGUCGCGAACUCGCGAGGGCAAGCAAAUCUCUUAAAACCGUUCUCAGUUCGGACUGCAGGCUGCAACUCGCCUGCACGAAGUCGGAAUCGCUAGUAAUCGCGGAUCAGCAUGCCGCGGUGAAUACGUUCCCGGGCCUUGUACACACCGCCCGUCACACCAUGAGAGUUUGUAACACCCAAAGUCGGUGGGGUAACCUUUUAGGAGCCAGCCGCCUAAGGUGGGACAGAUGAUUAGGGUGAAGUCGUAACAAGGUAGCCGUAGGAGAACCUGCGGCUG
RNAcentral lists this ribosomal RNA (1556 nucleotides) under Limosilactobacillus fermentum. Its description in RNAcentral is "bacterial SSU rRNA". It matches the Rfam family "Bacterial small subunit ribosomal RNA". The record is from RNAcentral. Lineage: Bacteria; Bacillati; Bacillota; Bacilli; Lactobacillales; Lactobacillaceae. RNAcentral also lists the same sequence under 4 other names.